ACACUCCUGCGGGAGGCAGCAGUGGGGAAUUUUGGACAAUGGGCGAAAGCCUGAUCCAGCAAUGCCGCGUGAGUGAAGAAGGCCUUCGGGUUGUAAAGCUCUUUUGUCAGGGAAGAAACGGUGAAAGCUAAUAUCUUUUGCUAAUGACGGUACCUGAAGAAUAAGCACCGGCUAACUACGUGCCAGCAGCCGCGGUAAUACGCAGGGUGCAAGCGUUAAUCGGAAUUACUGGGCGUAAAGCGUGCGCAGGCGGUUUUGUAAGUCUGAUGUGAAAUCCCCGGGCUCAACCUGGGAAUUGCAUUGGAGACUGCAAGGCUAGAAUCUGGCAGAGGGGGGUAGAAUUCCACGUGUAGCAGUGAAAUGCGUAGAUAUGUGGAGGAACACCGAUGGCGAAGGCAGCCCCCUGGGUCAAGAUUGACGCUCAUGCACGAAAGCGUGGGGAGCAAACAGGAUUAGAUACCCGAGUAGUCCCAUGA
Molecule: ribosomal RNA, 476 nt
Filed under: uncultured organism
Description: partial 16S ribosomal RNA
Rfam family: Bacterial small subunit ribosomal RNA
Source: RNAcentral